RNAcentral lists this ribosomal RNA (221 nucleotides) under uncultured Lactobacillus sp. Its description in RNAcentral is "partial 16S ribosomal RNA". It matches the Rfam family "Bacterial small subunit ribosomal RNA", at positions 505 to 725 of the family's 1533-position model. The record is from RNAcentral. Lineage: Bacteria; Bacillati; Bacillota; Bacilli; Lactobacillales; Lactobacillaceae.
GUGCCAGCAGCUGCGGUAAUACGUAGGUGGCAAGCGUUGUCCGGAUUUAUUGGGCGUAAAGCGAGCGCAGGCGGUUUUUUAGGUCUGAUGUGAAAGCCUUCGGCUUAACCGGAGAAGUGCAUCGGAAACCGGGAGACUUGAGUGCAGAAGAGGACAGUGGAACUCCAUGUGUAGCGGUGAAAUGCGUAGAUAUAUGGAAGAACACCAGUGGCGAAGGCGGC